AUUGAACGCUGGCGGCAGGCCUAACACAUGCAAGUCGAGCGAGCGGCGGACGGGUGAGUAAUGUAUGGGGACUCCCCUAUAGAGGGGGAUAAAUACUGGAAACGGUGGCUAAUACCCCAUACUAUCGGAAAACCCAUAUGGGAUUAUCGAGUAGGUGGGGUAAAGGCUCACCUAGGCGACGAUCUUUAUCUGGUCUGAGAGGAUGAUCAGCCACACUGGAACUUGGACACGGCCCAGACUCCUACGGAGGCAGCAGUGGGGAAUAUUGGACAAUGGGCGAAAGCCUGAUGCAGCCAUGCCGCGUGUAUGAAGAAGGCCUUAGGGUUGUAAAGUACUUUAAGCGGGGAGGCGUUACCAGCAGAAGAAGCACCGGCUAACUCCGUGCCAGCAGCCGCGGUAAUUC
Molecule: ribosomal RNA, 403 nt
Filed under: uncultured bacterium
Lineage: Bacteria
Description: partial 16S ribosomal RNA
Rfam family: Bacterial small subunit ribosomal RNA
Source: RNAcentral